UAAGCAGAACUGGCGAUGAGGGAUGAACCUAACGUUGAGAUAAGGUGCCCAAAUUCACGCUCAUGAGACACCAGAAAAGGUGUUGGUUAGUAUAAACAGCCGGACUGUGGCCAUGGAAGUCGGCAGCAGCUAAGGAGUGUGUAACAACUCACCAGCCGAAUUAACCAGCCCUGAAAAUUGAUGGCGCUAAGCGUGAUACCGAUACUCAACCAUUAAGGCAAAUAGAAGCUUUAAUGAGUAAGAGGGCGUGAAUACUGUGUAGAAGGCUUGGAUGUGAAUCUGGCUGGAACAGUAUUUAGUGCAGAUCUUGGUGGUAGUAGCAAAUAUUCAAAUGAGAACUUUGAAGACCGAAGUGGAGAAGGGUUCCAUGAGAACAGCAUUUGUUCAUGGGUUACUCGAUCCUAAGACAUAGGGAAAUUCCUUGUAAUACAUGCGAUCUUACGACCGCAUUGUCAAAAGGGAAUGAGGUUGAUAUUCCUCAAGCUGGCAGUGGUGGCAACGUGGCAACACAAACAAGCCCGGAGACGCCGGUAUGUGCAACUGGAAGAGUUCUCUUUUCUUCUUAACAGCCUAUCUCCCUGAAUGGAUUAUCCAAAGCAAGGGAUAUACGGUUGGCAGAGCAGUUCACCAUCGAAUUGUCAGUGAUGCUCAUAACGGCCCUUGAAAAUCUGAGUAAGGUAUCCAAACACGCCAGAUCGUACCCAUAACCGCAUCAGGUCUCCAAGGUUAGCAGCCUCUGGUCGAUAGAAUAAUGUAGAUAAGGGAAUUCGGCAAAUUAGAUCCGUAACUUCGGGAAAAGGAUUGGCUCUGAGGAUUGGGUUAUAGUGGCUGCCAUUGAGAGGGGAACUAUGAAGGAGCUGGGCGAUCGGAUCUGAAUUGGUGAACCAGGAUUUGUCAGUUUGCUUACGCCAGCAACAAUCGACUCAGAACUGAAGCGGACAAGGGGAAUCCGACUGUUUAAUAAAAACAUAGCUUUGUGAUGGAGUGAAAACUUGUUGACACAAAGUGGUUUCUGCCCAGUGCUUUGAAUGUGAAUAUGAAGUAAUUUGUAGAAGCUCAGGUAAACGGCGGGAGUAACUAUGACUCUCUUAAGGUAGCCAAAUGCCUCGUCAUCUAAUUAGUGACGCGCAUGAAUGGAUUAAUGAGAUUCCCACUGUCCCUAUCUACCAUCUAGCGAACCCACAGCCAAGGGAACGGGCUUGGAAUAAUCAGCGGGGAAAGAAGACCCUGUUGAGCUUGACUCUAGUCCGACUUUGUGAAAUGACUUUCGAGAUAUAGCCUAGGUGGGAGCGAAAGCGCCGCUGUA
This 1306-nucleotide ribosomal RNA is filed under the name metagenome. Its description in RNAcentral is "eukaryotic LSU rRNA". It matches the Rfam family "Eukaryotic large subunit ribosomal RNA", at positions 1141 to 2493 of the family's 3401-position model. The record is from RNAcentral.